CACACACUCACUGAUAGAAUAACACACUGAUAUACACACACCGACAGACACACACACACUCACUGAUAGAAUAACACACUGAUAUACACACACCGACAGACACACACUCACUGAUAGAAUAACACACUGAUAUACACACACCGACAGACACACACACACACACUCACUGAUAGAAUAACACACUGAUAUACACACACACACACUCACUGAUAGAAUUACACACUGAUAUACACACAC
This is a non-coding RNA of Pelobates cultripes (western spadefoot toad), 237 nucleotides long. The record is from the annotation of a GenBank genome assembly. NCBI's taxonomy places the organism in Eukaryota, Metazoa, Chordata, Amphibia, Anura, Pelobatidae.